Long non-coding RNA from Ornithodoros turicata, 295 nucleotides. RefSeq lists it as uncharacterized. The record is from RefSeq and is a predicted model, not a curated record. NCBI's taxonomy places the organism in Eukaryota, Metazoa, Arthropoda, Arachnida, Ixodida, Argasidae. The transcript has 3 exons.
ACGAAACUUGUGAAUCGUGCAUUUGCUCUUCAUGGUAGCUGCCAAAAAAUCGAAUCAAACUUAUGGGACACUGGAUUACAGGUUGCUGCGACUACUCCAUGUGCCCGCAAUUGUCUUGCGUGUAUGAUUACACUAACGGCGUCGCCCACCACGGCGGAAGUGUUUUGCGUACACGCGUUUCAGCAUGAAGCCUGCAAGUGGACGUAAAUUGUAGAAGGCAGCUAGUGGGGGAGAAGAUCAUGGUCAUAGGUCAUGUGACUCCUGGAGCUCCCAGUGGGUUCCCUUGUGGAGUACU